UUCUGGUUGAUCCUGCCAGAGGUCACUGCUAUCGGUGUCCGAUUAAGCCAUGCGAGUCGAGAGGUGUAAGACCUCGGCAGACUGCUCAGUAACACGUGGAUAACCAGCCCAAGGGUCCGGGAUAACCCCGGGAAACUGGGGAUAAUACCGGAUGGGUCACCAGUGCAGGGAUGCUUGGUGGUCGAAAGGUGACGCCUUUGGAUGGGUCUGCGGCGGAUUAGGUUGACGCCGGUGUAACGUACCGGCGUGCCUGUAAUCCGUACGGGUUGUGGGAGCAAGAGCCCGGAGAUGGAUUCUGAGACACGAAUCCAGGCCCUACGGGGCGCAGCAGGCGCGAAAACUCUACAAUGCAGGCAACUGCGAUAGGGGGACAUCGAGUGGCAUCCACCUUGGGUGUCUGUCCAACCGUCUAAAAAACGGUUGUUAGCAAGGGCCGGGCAAGACCGGUGCCAGCCGCCGCGGUAAUACCGGCGGCUCGAGUGGUGGCCGAUAUUAUUGAGUCUAAAGGGUCCGUAGCCGGCUUUGCAAGUCCCCUGGGAAAUCCGGCGGCUUAACCGUUGGGCUUUCAUGGGAUACUACAUUGCUUGGGACUGGGAGAGGUAGGAGGUACUCGGGGGGUAGGGGUGAAAUCCUGUAAUCCUCCGGGGACCACCGGUGGCGAAGGCGUCCUACCAGAACAGGUCCGACGGUGAGGGACGAAAGCUAGGGGCACGAACCGGAUUAGAUACCCGGGUAGUCCUAGCCGUAAACGAUGCCCGCUAGGUGUCACGACGGUCGUGAAUCGUCGUGGUGCCGUAGGGAAGCCGCGAAGCGGGCCACUUGGGAAGUACGGCCGCAAGGCUGAAACUUAAAGGAAUUGGCGGG
Molecule: ribosomal RNA, 864 nt
Filed under: uncultured Methanocella sp.
Lineage: Archaea; Methanobacteriati; Methanobacteriota; Methanomicrobia; Methanocellales; Methanocellaceae
Description: bacterial SSU rRNA
Rfam family: Archaeal small subunit ribosomal RNA
Source: RNAcentral